Molecule: long non-coding RNA, 349 nt
Organism: Syzygium oleosum
Lineage: Eukaryota; Viridiplantae; Streptophyta; Magnoliopsida; Myrtales; Myrtaceae
Exons: 2
Source: RefSeq, a predicted model, not a curated record
GGAUUGGUUUCGUGCGCUGGAUGAAUUGAUCCAUCCCCACUGGGCUGAUUUCCAGGCCCAGCUACAUUUUCCUCUCCGUGCAGGCCAUGUUGAGGAUUGGCCCACGCUUGUCCUGGUCUGAUGGUCCAUUGACCUUGGGUGGAAUACCAGUGAGCUAGAUGCCACUGAAAUGGGCCGGGAAUCUGGACUGGAGCAGGUGCAAAUGCGGUUGAAUGCUGAACAGAAGACCGUCCAUCAUCAGUUGGAUUAAUUUGAUCCGAUGAUGUUGGAGUUUGAAUUUAGGUGAGUUGAGGGCUUCUUCAUUUGUAUUAUGAUUUUCUGACAUUGUAUCAAAAAAUGAAUUCCUACC